RNAcentral lists this ribosomal RNA (468 nucleotides) under uncultured bacterium. RNAcentral describes it as "partial 16S ribosomal RNA". It matches the Rfam family "Bacterial small subunit ribosomal RNA", at positions 28 to 507 of the family's 1533-position model. The record is from RNAcentral.
GACGAACGCUGGCGGCGUGCUUAACACAUGCAAGUCGAACGGACAUGCCCUGCUUUUGUGGGGUGCUCGAGUGGCGAACGGGUGAGUAACACGUACGUAACUUGCCUUUGCCUUUGUGAUAACUUCCGGUAACUGGGGCUUAUUCCUGCUAGGAGCUCCUUCUGCUUGGUGUGGGUUGUAAAGUUUCGGCGGUUGGGUAUUGACACGUGGCUUAUCAGCUUGUUGGUGGGGUAGUGGCUUACCAAGGCUUUGACGGGUAGCCGGCCUGAGAGGGUGACCGGCGACAUUGGGACUGAGAUACGGCACAGACUCGUAGGGGAGGAAGCAGUAGGGAAUAUUGAAGAAUGGGCGAAAGCCGGAGGGAGAAACGCCGAGGGCGGGAUGACGGACUUCGGGUUGGAAACCGCUUUAGCCUGUGACGAAGCGUGAGUGACGGUAAUGGGUAAAGAAGCACCGGCUAACUACGUG